Molecule: unclassified non-coding RNA, 148 nt
Organism: Macaca mulatta (Rhesus monkey)
Lineage: Eukaryota; Metazoa; Chordata; Mammalia; Primates; Cercopithecidae
Rfam family: Metazoan signal recognition particle RNA
About the family: The signal recognition particle (SRP) is a universally conserved ribonucleoprotein. It is involved in the co-translational targeting of proteins to membranes.
Source: Ensembl
GCCGGGUGUGGUGGCGGGCGCCUGUCAUCCCAGCUACUCGGGAGGCUGAGGCAGGAGAAUCGCUUGAACCCGGGAGGUGGAGGUUGCAGUGAGCCGAGAUCGCGCCACUGCCCUCCAGCCUGGGCGACAGAGCGAGACUCUGUCUCAA